RNAcentral lists this transfer RNA (58 nucleotides) under Vespa basalis. RNAcentral describes it as "tRNA-Glu". The record is from RNAcentral. Lineage: Eukaryota; Metazoa; Arthropoda; Insecta; Hymenoptera; Vespidae.
AUUUAUAUAGUUUAAUUAAAAACAUUUUAUUUUCAAUAAAAAAAUAAUAAUAUUAAUA